UUUUGAUAUUUUAUUUUAGUAUGAAAAAUGAUAAUGAGUUUGGUUUAUACAUGCUAUUUUUUGAGGUUAAAAGUUUGAUGUCUAAAUGAUUUUAUAAUUUUUAAUUAGCAGUAUUUAUUAUUGUUUAUAUUUUAUUGUUUAAAGAUACAGCUUUUAUUUAUUAUUGACUAGCAAAAAUUGUGCCAGCAGCUGCGGUUAUACAAUUAGUUAUUUAUCAUUGUUUAGGGGUAUAUUUAUUAAUGUUUAUUAAUCUUAUUAUAUAAAGUUUUAAAGUGAAAUUUAAAUUUAUAAAUAAUGAUUUGGUUAUAGAUCAUAUAUGAAAUUUAUUUAAUUGAGACUAGGAUUAGAUACCCUAUUAUUAUAAAUUUAAAUUUUAACCUCUAGUAUUAAUAGUUAAGAUCUUUAAAUUAAAAAAAUUUGACGGUAAUUUAAUCUUUUCAGAGGAACCUGUUCUGUAAUCGAUAUUCCACGAUAAAUUUUACUUUAAUUUUGGUUUGUAUAUCUCUGUUUAAUAGAGUGUUUUAUUAGAAUUUAUUCUCUUAAAAUUUUUAUAAAUUUUAUUUCAGGUCAAGGUGCAACUAUAUUAAAGAUUGAGAUGGGUUACAUUUAUUUAAUAAUUUUGGAUUAAAUGUAUUAUUAUUGUAUUUAUUUUUAUGAAAUUGGAUUUGAUUGUAAUAUUUAUUAUAUAUUAAUUAUGAUAUUUGUUCUAGAUUGAGUACACAUCGCCCGUCACUCUCAUUUAUUAAAAUGAGAUAAGUCGUAACAAAGUAGGCCUAUCGGAAGAUGGGCCUAGAAUUAUA
RNAcentral lists this non-coding RNA (800 nucleotides) under Eucorysses grandis. The record is from RNAcentral. Lineage: Eukaryota; Metazoa; Arthropoda; Insecta; Hemiptera; Scutelleridae.